This 479-nucleotide ribosomal RNA is filed under the name uncultured bacterium. RNAcentral's name for it is "partial 16S ribosomal RNA". It matches the Rfam family "Bacterial small subunit ribosomal RNA", at positions 27 to 507 of the family's 1533-position model. The record is from RNAcentral.
GGAUGAACGCUGGCGGCGUGCUUAACACAUGCAAGUCGAACGAGAAGUGAAGACGGAAACCUUCGGGCGGAAGGCUUUAUUUCGAGUGGCGGACGAGUGAGUAACGCGUGGGUAACCUGCCUCAUACAGGGGGAUAACAGUUGGAAACGACUGUUAAUACCGCAUAAGACCACAGCACCGCAUGGUGCGGGGGUAAAAACUCCGGUGGUAUGAGAUGGACCCGCGUUCGAUUAGCCAGUUGGCGGGGUAACGGCCCACCAAAGCGACGAUCGAUAGCCGAUCUGAGAGGAUGACCGGCCACAUUGGGACUGAGACACGGCCCAAACUCCUACGGGAGGCAGCAGUGGGGAAUAUUGCACAAUGGGGGAAACCCUGAUGCAGCGACGCCGCGUGAGUGAAGAAGUAUUUCGGUAUGUAAAGCUCUAUCAGCAGGGAAGAAAAUGACGGUACCUGAGUAAGAAGCCCCGGCUAACUACGUG